CGGGGAUCAUGUGCUUCCAGUUUUCACAGGGGAGUGUGGGGAUUGCGUGCAUUGCAAGUCUGAGGAAAGCAAUAUGUGUGACCUGCUGAGAAUCAAUACAGAUAGAGGAGUUAUGAUUGGUGAUGGGAAACAAAGGUUUUCCAAGAAUGGGACUCCUAUUAAUCACUUUCUUGGCACGUCCACCUUCAGUGACUAUACAGUCAUCCAUGAAGGCUGCCUUGCCAAGAUCGAUCUGUCAGCACCGUUAGACAAAGUCUGCAUCCUCAGUUGUGGUGUCUCAACAGGUUUAGUGUUACACUCUCAGAGCAUAAUGUUAUUGCAUAUUUGAUGAUAUGUGUAAUAGUAAAUGUUUUUCUCGCCAAAAAAUGGAAAUAAAAAUUCAGGAUUCUGUGCUACUCUGAAAGUGGCAAAACCAAAGAAGGGAUCUUCAGUUGCUGUCUUUGGACUUGGGGCUGUUAGCCUGGCAGUAAGUUUGGGAUAAAUUUUGUUGACAUAUCCUGAAUUGUAGUAGUUUGCCAUUUAUUUCCCAUGUGGUAUUCAUAAUUAUUUAUAUGUUUCUUUAGGCUGCUGAAGGUGCAAGAAUUUCUGGGGCAUCAAGGAUUAUUGGGGUUGACUUGAAUCCCAAGAGGUUUGAGGAAGGUACUUGUAAUUUUGUACAUCUUCAUUAGUUUGUCAUGGUUUACAUUUACUUGGAAAACAUAAGAAACAAAUUCUUGCUUGAUACUUUUAUUUCCCCUGGUUUUAAGCCAAGAACUUUGGAGUAAAUGAGUUCGUGAACCCAAGGGACCAUAUCAAGCCAGUGCAACAGGUGAAAAAUUGUUCUUAAUAGAAAAACCCCUUAAAGAUAGCAGUUAUAACCACUAGUAAAUCACCUUUGACACCAACAGAUUAUUGCUGAGAUGACGAAUGGUGGAGUCGACAGAAGCUUAGAGUGCACCGGCAACAUUAAUUCGAUUAUCUCCGCUUUUGAAUGUGUUCAUGAUGCAUGUUGUUUUUCAGAUAACAGCAGUUACAUUUUCAUAUUUUGUAAUAACUGAAGGCUUAAGUUACAGGGUAGGGUUGGUUCUGUUUUGAAUAACUCUUUUCUGGGUUUUGGAUUGAGACAGGAUUGGGGUGUGGCCGUUCUUGUAGGAGUACCAAGCAAAGAUGCAAUCUUCAAGACUAACCCCUUCAAUUCCCUUGAUGAAAGAACCCUUGAGGGAACCUUUUUGGGAACUACAAACCUCGGACUGAUCUUCCCUCUGUUGUAGACAUGUAUAUGAACAAGGUAAAAGAAUUUUCUUCUAAAUAUUCAAAUACAUUUUCAGGUGUUCAAAUCUUCUGUAGGCGAUUUUAACGAAUGCCUUUUGAUCACUUUCCGACAGAAACUUGAAGUAGAGAAGUUUAUAACUCAUCGAGUUCCUUUCUCAGAGAUCAACAAAGCCUGUGACUACAUGUUGAAGGGGGAAGGCUUGCGGUGUAUCAUUAGCAUGGAAGAGUAGGAUUAAUAUCAGAUAUAAAUAAAUAAAAACUUCAAUUAUUUUCUUUGCUGAAAAAGUUUAAAAAUUCAACAAGGUGUGAUAAAAAAAACUAAAAAAAAACUUCACUCCUUAUGAUUUUAAACUUCUUUUUUAAUUGCUUGUUUCUUGAGGGGAAAUGCGAGAAAAUGGAGGAGAGGUGGAGAGGGGGCUUCGAAGUUUGAAGCUCCAUUUUCUGUGGAAGCUUGGUAAAUAGUCGAACCAAGGCAAGCUAAAUCCAAGGAUGUACAGAAGGGUCAGUAAGCAAGCAGAUCAUAUUCUUCCACAAAUGAGGCAAUGGGUAAAUUCUCCAUGCACACUACAAGAUUACAAGUAGCUUAAGAUCCACUUUCUGAAAUGGAUGCCUCACACACGGUCAGGUUAGCUAUGAAAAUGAGUGAAUGAGCCCUACCAGUGAGGAUGUUACUUAUACUUCUCCAUGAUUCUUCUGGCUUCUUCUAGACUGUCCUCCAUCCCCUCCUCCUUUGGUGUAGAGGUGGUGCCUCCACCCCCCUUUGGUCCUUCAUCCUUAUUCAAAGCUAUAAAUGUAAAGUAUACGAGUCCCAUCGUAGCCUGUUAUCAUACAAUGCUUAGUUCAUUAGAAUUACAUAAUAUUUAUGUACUUCAAAAAUAAGGACUGUCUAUACAAGAAUAAUGCUCUCUUACUGACAAGAGGAAACUUGCCCUCAUUGCAUCUCAUUUCCUUAUAGAAACUAGUAACGCAGAAAAAGAAGUUGAUUUUAAAACACAAACACACAAAUGAUAGCACAAGCAUACUUGAUAUACAUUUUGGAAAAAGCAAGUCAAAUAACAUCAUCGAUCUACUGUUCUUGCAGGAGGAGAGAAAUAGAAACAUACCAGCACAAAGAAAACUUGAGUACAAAGAGUGAAGGAGAAAAUGCAACUACCGUCACAGAAACCCUUGCUAUUGAUCUUGGCACAGAAUCCUAGCACCCAAAUGCAAAACACAAACAGAAUAUCAAAAAUCUUCAAUUUGUACUAAAAGCAAGAAAAAGUUUGAAAGGGUAGACUAAACAUAACUUACCGGCACAAGAUUGGUUCCUGCCUCAAUUCCAUCUCUCCCAACCCUAUUUUACACAAUUCAAACCAGUAGUCAACACAAAUGUAAACAUAAAACUCAAGGGUAAAACUAUUUGCUCUCUUGUAUGAGCAGGAAAGCAGCAAAAGUAAUUCAUGUGAUUCAGAAAGGUAGAAACACUGUGAAUUGGAUGUAAACAGCCAAUGUCGUCCAUAUAUAAUUUAACUCAAAAUCUCAACCAGAAAAUUAAAAUGUUAUCCUAACAAUUCAAAAUUCUGACUCAAAAUUAGCCUGCAUGAAAAAUACUUGAAAAGAUUUCUUGACCUACUUUUAAUGCAUAAGAAAGACAAAUUUAAAAUAACAAAAAUUGCCCUGAGAAAAUCACACUUGCUGCACAUGGCAGCACGUCAGCUAGGUUUCACCCACCAAAUGGUAAGUUCCCAUGGAUUAUGGUAUGGAUGAUUAGCCAGUUCUCUCAACUAUCCGAUUAACGGGUGAUCACUCUUUAACGUAAGAAGAUUCAAGCUUUUCUAAACGGUUCCAUUCUCUAGUUACAGCUUCACUGCUUCUACAAAAGCGCCUUUACCUUUCAUGCCUGAUUGAAAUCUUUACAAUAGCUUUUUAUUUUUAGAGGCCAAUCAUUUACAAUUUCAUUCUACUAACCACUAAUCACCGGAGUUCCAAAGCACUGAAUUGAAAUCCACAAUCAAUGUUGAAAAUCGCUAGGCGGUAGGCGGGCGCCUAGGGCCUUUUUUUUAAAUUUAGAAUUAUUUUGUACUAAUCGCGGCCUGGUGGUGGUCGUCGCGGGUGGAGGCCCGGUGGUGUGGUGGUGGUCUGUCGUGAGAGAGAGAGAGAGAGAGAGAGAGAGAGAGAGAGAGAGGCAGCGUUAAACUCAAGGGAUAAAAAAAAUUUUAAAGGACCCGACCAGGCCGCCUAACUCCCGCCUAGCCGCCUAGGUGGCCGCUCUCGCCGCCUAGCCGCCUAGGUGGUCGCUCUCGCCUCCUAGCCGCCUAGGUGGUCGCUCUCGCCGCCUAGCGCAGCCUAGCAGCCUAGGUAGCCGCCUAGCGCCGCCUAGGCAGAUUUUUCGAACACUCGACAAUUUAGUGAUGGGAAACCAAGGUUUUCUAUCAAAGGGACUCCCAUUAAUCACUUUCUUGGCACAUCCACCUUCAGUGAACACACUGUUGUUCAUUCAGGCUGUCUUGCCAAGAUCAAUCGCCUGGCACCUUUGGAUAAAGUUUGCAUCCUUUGUUGUGGCAUCUCAACAGGUUUGGUGUCAUACUCAAAGCAUUAUGGUCAUGAUUUAUGUAUCCAAACAUUCCAUAAUUAAUCGUUUGUGUGAUAGGGAUUUUUCUUUAUAAAUUUCAGACUUGGGUGCCACCCUGAAUGUAGCAAAACCGAAGAAGGGAUCUUCAGUUGCUGUCUUCGGACUUGGGGCUGUUGGCCUGGCUGUAAGUUUUGGGAAAAUUUUGUUCAUCAAAUCCUUAAUUCCAAUAGUUGCAUUUAUUUCCUUUUCCGUAUUUUUACUGAUAUUUUUUUGUCUAGGCUGCUGAAGGUGCAAGAAUUUCUGGGGCAUCACGGAUUAUUGUGAUCGACCGAAAUCCCAAGAGGUUUGAGGAAGGUAUUUACAAUGUUGUCCAUUGUCAUUUACCAUGGUUUUAACAGGUAGUUUCAUGGGAAAACGUAGAAACAAAUUCUUGCUCAAAACCUUUUCUUUUUUCUGGUUUAGCCAAGAAAUUUGGAGUAAAUGAGUUUGUGAAUCCAAAGGACCAUGACAAACCAGUGCAAUGCAAGAGGUGAAAAACAGUUCUUUAUUCGUAUCAGAUGUUGCUACAUCAAUCCACAUAGAUAGUUAAGUUAUAUCCAACCUUCAGAUUUGAUCUUUAAAAUCAACAGGUUGUUGCUGAGAUGACAAACGGUGGAGUUGAUAGGAGCAUAGAGUGCACAGGCAAUAUUAACGCCAUGAUAUCGGCUUUUGAAUGUGUUCAUGAUGUAUGUUUUCUGGAUUACAGCAGCUACAUUUUGAUUGCAAAUAUUGGAGAUACAAUUUGGCCUAAACAGACGAACGCUUGAGGCGAUUUCCAUUCGCCUUGCUCCUACGCAUGCACUGGGGCGCGAUUAGGCAUGCCUUUGAAAACACUGGUACCAAUCAUUGAUGACCUGUGUGUGCUAGUUCAUCUUUAACACCUGUCUAUCUACAUUCUACCCUCAGCUGCAUCUGCAGUCAUGAGCUUAUAUGUUUUGAUCGGUAUCACAAGGAUGGGGUGUAGCUGUGCUUGUUGGAGUUCCGAACAAGGAUGCAGUCUUCAUGACUAAGCUGAUUAAUGUGCUGAAUGAAAGGACGCUUAAAGGAACAUUUUUUGGGAACUACAAACCUAGGACACACCUUCCCUCUGUUGUGGACAUGUACAUGAACAAGGUAACAUCAUUUUCUUCUAAGAUUUUCGUUUACUUUAUCAGGUGUUCAAUUCGUUUGUCAUGGAUUCUAAUGAACUAAGCAUUUUUCCUUUUCACUUUCCAACAGGAACGGGACGUAGAGAAGUUCAUAACUCAUCGAGUUCCUUUCUCCGAGAUCAACAAAGCCUUUGAUUACAUGGUGAAGGGGGAAGGAUUGCGAUGCAUCAUUAGCAUGGAAGAGUAGCUGCUUGUUAAAGUUUUGAGAGUGUUUGCUAGUAUUCUAGCUGAUUUAUCAGAGAAAGGAGUGAGAGGAAUAGAAGGAGAGAAAUCUGUAAAAACUGCUCUGCUUACUCUCUAAGUCAGAGAGCAAGGAUAUGUAUAUUCUGUUUUCUCUAUUCAAUCACGCACACACACAAAGCAUGAAGUACAUGACCGUUAGCCUUAGCUGGAUGCACACACAUAAUAUUGCAUCUCAACCUUACACUUGUCAUUUUCUAAGACAAAGUGAAUACACAAUGAAAUACUAGGCUAAUUAACACUGAGCUCAAAUUAGCUCAAUGCUUAUACACUAACACUGCUAUCAGUUCAUAAUUAAACUUCAAUAAGUUUCUUUGAUGAACAGCUUUUUUCUUUUUUUUUCUUUUUUUUUUUGGAAAAGGUUGAAUUCAUUCCAUUAGAAGGGAGGAAUAAAAGGCAUGUCAUGCGUGGCCUCGUUAAAACCUUCCCAGAGAAAACCACAAGGGAAAAACUCCGGGGUAGGAAAGAGUACCACAUAUGCCCAUAACGUACACAACAGGAAAAUUACAUUACAUCAAUGAACAAAACAUCUUGUAGGAAAUCUGGGGGAUCAGUAACCCAGAUUUAAGUAUGAACGAAACAUCUUGAUGAACAGCUUUAAGUAUUCAACAAAGUAUGCACUUUCACACUGCUUAAGCAAUAUUUUGUGUAACCUGACAUAGAAACUAUCAGCCUCCAUUCAAAGUCAAGUUGGGUUCAAUAAGUAAAUUAUAGAAUACACUUUCAAUAAGACGAGUUCAAGUACAGUCUCCAAUUUUCCAUAUUUGAUAAAACAAUAUAUAAACCAACAGACUUUUUGAUAAAACAAAACAGGGUCUCUCUCUCUCUCUCUCUCUCUCUCUCUCUCCAAAGAUUUAGUUAAUUAUGCGAUUUCCUAAUCAAAAUCAAAGCAAACUCAUCAAAUUUGUGCCAAGUGUAGUCCAUCACAUUUCCGGUUAAUUCAUCAAAGUGUUUGUAGAGUGCCUCAUUUUCUCUCCCCUCCUAGCUACAUGUUGGUGUGGCCAGUCCAUCUCUGCCUUCCUCACAAUAGAGGGAAAGAGAGAGUCCUGCGGAGGGGUUAUUGGAGGCCAUUUUUUCUCAACAACCUCUCUAAAAUAGACACAACUUUUGUUGCUCUUGAAUAUAAUGGAUUCUCAAUAUCACCUCUUUGGUUGCCAAUUGGAUUUUUCAAUUGGUUUUUAAGUACAAAACUCUAACUCCUGUGCACUCAUUACAUAUAUGUACAUAUAUAAACACACACAAUGCAUUCGAGGUUUAGAACUUUGGUGCACAAUGACCAUUUCUUAAAGCUCCUAAAAAACCAAAAAUUUCGCUUCAUCAGCCCCGAACUCUACGACACUUCGGCUACCGCUGGCCGUGUGAUCACCAGCAAAGGUAUACCAAUGCAACAUUUCAUACUUUUUAAGCUUUUUUUUUUUUUUUUUACUUCUUGAAUUGGGAACAUUGUAAAAUUGGUUCUAUUUAUUUGCCUCCUUUAGAAUUUCUUAAUUUUGAAAGAUGGGAUUUUUUCUCUCCCGUUGUUUGAUUUUGCAGCGGCGGUCGCAUGGGAAGCAGGAAAGCCAUUGGUGAUAGAGAAGGUAGAGGUUGCUCCACCCCAGGCUAAUGAAGUGAGGGUCAAAAUCAAAUAUACCUCACUUUGUCACACUGAUGUCCACUUCUGGGAAGCCAAGGUCGGUUCUAUUUUUAUCAGAAUGCUUUCCAUUUCUUUGGGGUUUUUUUCCUUCUUCAUUUUUUUCUUUCCCAUUUAGCAUAAGUUUGAAUCUUUUACUUAUUUGUUAUAUGUUUCUUUAUGAAACUUCAGGGCCAGACUGGUCUCUUCCCCCGAAUAUUCGGUCAUGAAGCAGCUGGGUACGUUGUUGCUUUUAAGUGAAUCUUACAUCCUCUGGCUUCAGAAUGGACUAUUUUUCACAGUAUUGGUUCCUUUUCUUUCUUCCUUUUCCCCUCCCUUGGCUUCCAUAACCUGGUUUAGUUCAUAUUACGAAUGCAAAUGCUGAUUUUCAUAACAGAGUCGUUGAGAGUGUUGGGGACGGCGUUAAAAACCUCAAGCCUGGGGAUCAUGUACUUCCAGUUUUCACAGGGGAGUGUGGGGAUUGCGUGCAUUGCAAGUCUGAGGAAAGCAAUAUGUGUGACCUGCUGAGAAUCAAUACAGAUAGAGGAGUUAUGAUUGGUGAUGGGAAACAAAGGUUUUCCAAGAAUGGGACUCCUAUUAAUCACUUUCUUGGCACAUCUACCUUCAGUGAAUAUACAGUCAUCCAUGAAGGCUGCCUUGCC
Molecule: long non-coding RNA, 7500 nt
Filed under: Prunus persica (peach)
Lineage: Eukaryota; Viridiplantae; Streptophyta; Magnoliopsida; Rosales; Rosaceae
Description: long non-coding RNA (PPER_LNC008458)
Source: RNAcentral